Molecule: non-coding RNA, 274 nt
Organism: Castor canadensis (American beaver)
Lineage: Eukaryota; Metazoa; Chordata; Mammalia; Rodentia; Castoridae
Source: RefSeq, a predicted model, not a curated record
UCUCAUUUUCAGGUCCUGGAUGGCUCACCCUUGUCAAAUGCUUUGCUACUGCGGCUUCUCCGAUCACACAGAAUCCUAGCAAGAGCGGGGUGAGACCCAGCAUUGCUACUAGAAAAACCCAAGGCCUUUUCACUUUCAGUAUUUGAAGACCCAAAUAUAAGCCAAAGAACUAAUUGAGGCCCAGUGCAACCAUCCUCAGCCUGCUGGACAGGAGAGAAGAGAAUACGAGUGAGGUCUGGGUUGACAGUGGUAGUGGAGCACGACAUCUGUGCAC